This 440-nucleotide ribosomal RNA is filed under the name uncultured bacterium. RNAcentral describes it as "partial 16S ribosomal RNA". It matches the Rfam family "Bacterial small subunit ribosomal RNA", at positions 338 to 795 of the family's 1533-position model. The record is from RNAcentral.
CCUACGGGCGGCAGCAGUAGGGAAUAUUGCUCAAUGGGGGAAACCCUGAAGCAGCACCGCCGCGUGGAGGAUGAAGGUUUUCGGAUUGUUAAAUCCUUUUGUUAGAGAAGAUAAUGACGGUAUCUAACGAAUAAGCACCGGCUAACUCCGUGCCAGCAGCCGCGGCACAACGGAGGGUGCAAGCGUUACUCGGAAUCACUGGGCGUAAACAGCCCGUAGGCGGGAUAGCAAGUCAGAUGUGAAAUCCUAUGGCUUAACCAUAGCACUGCAUUUGAAACUGUUAUUCUAGAGUAUGGGAGAGGUAGGUGGAAUUCGUGGUGUAGGGGUAAAAUCCGUAGAGAUCAAGAGGAAUACUCAUUGCGAAGGCGACCUGCUAGAACAUAACUGACGCUGAUGCGCGAAAGCGUGGGGAGCAAACAGGAUUAGAUACCCCUGUAGUC